AGUGAACGUUGGCGGCGUGGAUUAGGCAUGCAAGUCGAGCGAGAACCGUAGCAAUACGGGGACAGCGGCGAAAGGGACAGUAAUGUGUAGGUACCUACCCCGAGGUCUGGGAUAGCUGCGGGAAACUGCAGGUAAUACCAGAUAAUGUCUUCGGACCAAAGGUGUGAUUCCACCUUGGGAGGGGCCUGCAUCCUAUUAGCUAGUUGGCGGGGUAAUGGCCCACCAAGGCGACGAUGGGUAGCGGGUGUGAGAGCACGACCCGCGUCAUUGGGACUGAGACACUGCCCAGACACCUACGGGGGGAUGCAGUCGGGGAUCUUCGGCAAUGGGCGAAGGCCUGACCGAGCGACGCCGCGUGCGGGAUGAAGGCCUUCGGGUUGUAAACCGCUGUCGUAGAGGAGGAAAUGCAGGUGGGUUCUCCCAUCUGUUUGACCUAUUCUAGGAGGAAGUACGGGCUAAGUUCGUGCCAGCAGCCGCCGUAA
RNAcentral lists this ribosomal RNA (482 nucleotides) under uncultured bacterium. Its description in RNAcentral is "partial 16S ribosomal RNA". It matches the Rfam family "Bacterial small subunit ribosomal RNA", at positions 28 to 523 of the family's 1533-position model. The record is from RNAcentral.